CGGGAGUAACACCUGGAAACAGAUGCUAAUACCGGAUAACAACAGAUGAUGCCUAUCAACUGUUUAAAAGAUGGUUCUGCUAUCACUCUUGGAUGGACCUGCGGUGCAUUAGCUAGUUGGUAGGGUAACGGCCUACCAAGGCGAUGAUGCAUAGCCGAGUUGAGAGACUGAUCGGCCACAUUGGGACUGAGACACGGCCCAAACUCCUACGGGAGGCAGCAGCA
RNAcentral lists this ribosomal RNA (224 nucleotides) under uncultured Lactobacillus sp. RNAcentral describes it as "partial 16S ribosomal RNA". It matches the Rfam family "Bacterial small subunit ribosomal RNA", at positions 138 to 355 of the family's 1533-position model. Lineage: Bacteria; Bacillati; Bacillota; Bacilli; Lactobacillales; Lactobacillaceae. The record is from RNAcentral.